UACGUAGGGUGCAAGCGUUAAUCGGAAUUACUGGGCGUAAAGCGUGCGCAGGCGGUUAUGCAAGACAGAUGUGAAAUCCCCGGGCUCAACCUGGGAACUGCAUUUGUGACUGCAUGGCUGGAGUGCGGCAGAGGGGGAUGGAAAUCCGCGUGUAGCAGUGAAAUGCGUAGAUAUGCGGAGGAACACCGAUGGCGAAGGCAAUCCCCUGGGCCUGCACUGACGCUCAUGCACGAAAGCGUGGGGAGCAAACAGG
This 253-nucleotide ribosomal RNA is filed under the name uncultured bacterium. Its description in RNAcentral is "partial 16S ribosomal RNA". It matches the Rfam family "Bacterial small subunit ribosomal RNA", at positions 524 to 776 of the family's 1533-position model. The record is from RNAcentral.